GCUGAGAGUAGGAGUGUUCCUGUUUCAGGCAGCAGAGGACAGUAACACAUGACUCGCUGAUCUUCUAAGUAAUGUAAACCUAUGGAAAUUAAGGGUUGAAGAGGCUUUUGGUGGAAGGUGAGCCUAUGGCCACAGUGAUGCCAGGAGUCAACCAGAGCAGUGUAAAGAUGGGAGAGUGAACAGUGAACAGCUGGAUACAUCUGUGCCAUCAUUACUAGCCCAGGUCUCAGGCGACUAAACCAGAGAAAAUCCACUGGAAUCACGAGGGCCUUUAUUUCUGAUGUUGCGAGCUGGUUUGUGAUUCCUCAUUGCGAUGAUUCUAAAAAUAAUGCGCCAGGGCUGCGGGUUUUCCCAUGUGAAAAUACAGUAUGGGGGCACUUCUCGCAGUCAGGGCUUCUUGCACAGAGAUCCCACGUCCUGAAUGCUUCCGUGACUGAUACAUUUGCAGUUCAGACUCAACUUUGCUGGAGGUGCGUCCGCCUUUAUUUUUAUUUUUGUGCCUAUGUUUUCUAAGACGAGUCAACUUUUGUUCUCGAAUGCUACGGCAAAGACAGGAAAAAAAAUGUUCUUUUUUUUUUAAGCCAAACGAUGGCUUGUUAUUCUGGUGUAAUAAGCUUCCAGAAAUUCCUGCUCUCCCCCUCCUUCUCUACCUUUAAUUCUGGGAGACUUGCAACGGACUGGACUAGGGGGAAUCUCGUAUUCCGUGAUGUUUAGCCGACAUUUGUUACUUGCCGGUCAGGGUAACUCACUGAACGUUUCUAAUCUCGCUCAUUGCGUUCCUUUGUGUCCCUAAUGCGAAAUACAAUUAAUUCGGCGGGGGCUGUUCCCCGGGGACUUCCGUCAGCUGCCGCAUCCCUCCAGCCCGGCCAUGACGCCAGGCCAGACGUUCCCCAGUGCCCAGGCCCGAGCCGCUGGCCCUGCAAGGGAAGGGGGCCGGGGCUGGUUGGGGCUGCCCCGCUUCCUCCCGGACAAGGCGGCCACUC
Molecule: long non-coding RNA, 983 nt
Organism: Poecile atricapillus (Black-capped chickadee)
Lineage: Eukaryota; Metazoa; Chordata; Aves; Passeriformes; Paridae
Exons: 4
Source: RefSeq, a predicted model, not a curated record